AUGGCGGCCAGCCUCGAGCAGGAGCAGCAGCAGCGUCACAUCGUCCUCCGCCGGCCGCAGCUCACUCUGUGUAGGAUAUACCAUGAGGCCAGUAACUCACAACUUCACUGUGUUGAGGACAGCAGUGGGUUCUGUUCUAUGAUCCCUGAUCCCUCUGUUCUGGGACUUGCCACAAAUAAUACCAUCACUAGGUGUCAAGGAGCAGCUUAUGUUUACACUUCUCUUGGUGAACCAUAA
This 237-nucleotide ribosomal RNA is filed under the name Triticum aestivum (bread wheat). RNAcentral describes it as "partial small subunit ribosomal RNA". Lineage: Eukaryota; Viridiplantae; Streptophyta; Magnoliopsida; Poales; Poaceae. The record is from RNAcentral.